UACGUAGGUGACCAGCGUUGUCCGGAUUUACUGGGCGUAAAGAGCGCGCAGGCGGUCGUUCAAGUCGAGUGUGAAAGCCCCCGGCUCAACUGGGGAGGGUCACGCGAUACUGAUCGACUCGAAGGCAGGAGAGGGAAGUGGAAUUCCCGGUGUAGUGGUGAAAUGCGUAGAUAUCGGGAGGAACACCAGUGGCGAAGGCGGCUCUCUGGGACGGUACUGACGCUGAGACGCGAAAGCGUGGGGAGCGAACAGG
This 253-nucleotide ribosomal RNA is filed under the name uncultured bacterium. Its description in RNAcentral is "partial 16S ribosomal RNA". It matches the Rfam family "Bacterial small subunit ribosomal RNA", at positions 524 to 776 of the family's 1533-position model. The record is from RNAcentral.